UAACAAGGUUUCCGUAGGUGAACCUGCGGAAGGAUCAUUGUCGAGACCCGAACGGACGAUCGCGAACCCGUAAACGGUCCUGCAGGGGCGGAGGGAGGGCGGAUAUUCCGACCGCUCGACCUCGUACCUCGGGGCACCAUGGCCGCCCCCGCCCCGCACCGCUGCGGGACGGGCGGCGGGAACAACACCCGGCGCGGUGGGCGCCAAGGAACAGUGCUGUCGGAGAGCGUCGCGUGCCGGUCUCGGCGCGCGGCGCGAUCCUUCCAUACGUCGAACCUUUACGACUCUCGGCAACGGAUAUCUUGGCUCUCGCAUCGAUGAAGAACGUAGCGAAAUGCGAUACUUGGUGUGAAUUGCAGAAUCCCGUGAACCAUCGAGUCUUUGAACGCAAGUUGCGCCCGAGGCUAUCCGGCCGAGGGCACGCCUGCCUGGGCGUCACGCCUCGCGUCGCUCCGCGCACCCCGUCCCCCGUCCCGGGGAGGCGGCGGCUGCGGAUGCGGAGAUUGGCCCCCCGCGCCUGACGGCACGGCGGGUCGAAGUGCGUACCGCCGGUCGGGACGGACGCGGCGAGUGGUGGACGGACACGUACGGCGCUGAACGUCGCCUCCGCCCUCCGGCCAUGGCGGUACAUGCAAGGAACCCACGCCGAGCAUCCCUCGGAAAACGACCCCAGGUCAGGCGGGGCCACCCGCUGAGCUUAAGCAUAUCA
This is a ribosomal RNA of 709 nucleotides. The stretch from base 283 to 438 matches the Rfam family "5.8S ribosomal RNA".